Molecule: long non-coding RNA, 1492 nt
Organism: Diorhabda sublineata
Lineage: Eukaryota; Metazoa; Arthropoda; Insecta; Coleoptera; Chrysomelidae
Exons: 3
Source: RefSeq, a predicted model, not a curated record
GAAGAUAGCAUAGUGAUAAAAAACAUGGUAGCUUGAAAACCUGAUAAUGAAAGUGCUAAUAAAUAAAACUACUAGUAAAUAAAUAUAGUUUUAAUAAAACAUAUAAAAAAAAAAAAGAAAUUGAACAAUAAAAAACGAAACAACAUGAAACAGUUGAUUGACUUGUAUGCACAAUACAGGAGUGAAGUUGGUACUUUCAAAGUAAAAAUGGUUAAAAUUAUGAAGCUGAAGAAAGCCACAGAGUUUAAAAAUAUUAGCAUCCAAAUAACACCAUUAUGAAUUAGUAAAAGGUAGUAGGAAGAAGCUUCAGAACAUAUGCGGAGAACCAGAAUAAAACAGGGAAAGAAAGAGAACAGAAAAAGGCCUCUAACUUCAACUGAAUGCUGACAGGAGUGGAAAUUAAAUUAUUACUAAAGAAAAAAAAUUUCUUGCUUUAUCACAAUACCCAGUAAUAAGCAAACUAUACAUUUUGUGUCGCUCAACUGAAGAAGAUUAAUCACAAUGAGUAUUUGCUCUUUGGAUGGAUCGAUAUGACUUGAUAAUCUUACUAAUCUCCUUUUAUUCAAUAUGUAGUAAGAAAGCUACAAAUAAUUAUUUGUAUUGCUUCAGUACAAAUGAUCAAACUUUCCCUGAUAGGUGGAUAGGACAAGUUUAUUUAUUUGGCCAUCCAGAUCUUCAGACCUAACUUGCCUAGAUUUUUAUUUGUGGGGCCAAAUAAAGGAUCUUUUUUACACCAGGAACCUAACCAAAACCGAGCAUUUGUGAUCAUCUUGUCUCUUGUAAAGAUGUGAGUUUUUAUUUUCAUGUUAUGUUUGGUUUCUAUUUGAAAUGCUUGAGAGGUGAGUGUGAAGAAAUUUGAAGUUUCUCCCAAAAACAAGCUUGAAGCGUGGUUGAAUGAUAAUUGAUUGUAUUUUUAGAUUUAAUGUAUAAAUCAGAAUGUUUAGUAUUUUCCCUCAAAUUCUGCUUUUUUUUUCUGCCAUCUCGUUUGAUUUUAGAUAACUUCGUCUGAACACCUCAUGCUCAAAGAUCCAUAAUUUUUGGUUUUUUAUUGAUAAAAUGAUUUAUAAACUCAGCUUCAUAGAUUGAACGGAGAUACUCAGGCUUUCGGAAAUUUUAUAAUAAUAUGUUCUUUUAUUUCAUGAGCCAGGUCUCUCAAUAUAUUUUGAAAUAAAUAACUUCUCUAUAUUACUUAAUCCUUUGGUGUUAUCAGCAUUACUUUUACAUUUUUCUGAUGUACCAAUAUUAAAUAAUUUAAGUCUGUGUUAAACGAUAUCGAUAGUGCAUCUGUAAGAAAAAAUUUAUUACCCAAUUUUCAAUUCAAUAAAGAUAUCAUGAUAUCGUACUGUUCCAAAUUUAACCUAAUAUUUGAAGUUUUAGAUGGGUUUAUUCUUAUGAUUCUUAGAAAAAUUGUUACAGUCUUUUCAUUACUUUCAAAAAUCACAGUUCCUCUAAAAAUAUAUUUAUGAAAGUGCUCACAUCUUUGUGAAAUAGG